Long non-coding RNA from Sinocyclocheilus grahami, 687 nucleotides. RefSeq lists it as uncharacterized. The annotation marks the transcript as partial. The record is from RefSeq and is a predicted model, not a curated record. Lineage: Eukaryota; Metazoa; Chordata; Actinopteri; Cypriniformes; Cyprinidae. The transcript has 12 exons.
AUGAUCUUAAGCCCCUGCGAAGCCAACAGUGAAACCAGCCCCACCGAAAAACCCAGAAUCAGGAUUUGAUCUUUCAGAUGCCUUCGAUUUGGACCCUAAAAAACCUGCAGUGGUUCCCCCCAAAUCAGAAGAUGAUAAAAAGAAACCAUCUGGAGGUGACUUCGAUCUGUCUGACGCAUUUGGUCCAGAUACUGAGCCCAAAAAGCCUGUGGUCCCACCCAAAGAGAGAGGAACUGGUGGUGGAACUUUUGAUGACAAAGACCUCUUUGAUGUGAACGAAGGGGGUGAAUACAAGCCCGAUGGAGGCCAAAGUGGAGGACGAGCAGGAGAUGUUCCUCAGUCUAAUGAAAAUGGUGGAGCCUCUAAUCAACCUCAAGGCGGAGCCAUGACUGCCAUCAUCAGUUCUGUGGGUGUUGCUCUCCUCGGUGCCGCCUCAAGUUACUUUGCUUACCAGAAAAAGAAACUGUGUUUCAAAGUACAAGGAGGGGAGGAUCCAGAGAGUGGCAAAACCCGUGGUACUCAGUCUGAUCCUCAAGUUUUCAGCAACCUGCUCCGUUCAUCGUAACUGCGUUGGAUCUGCACACUGAAAGUAUAUAUGCACACUGAGCAUGUACAGCUAUGGAGAGCCUAACCCUAUGGGAAACAUCUGUUACAUGAAAGGCUGGUUUAAAACUAAUGUUUUAAGAA